RNAcentral lists this ribosomal RNA (456 nucleotides) under Pseudomonas putida. RNAcentral's name for it is "bacterial SSU rRNA". It matches the Rfam family "Bacterial small subunit ribosomal RNA", at positions 221 to 669 of the family's 1533-position model. Lineage: Bacteria; Pseudomonadati; Pseudomonadota; Gammaproteobacteria; Pseudomonadales; Pseudomonadaceae. The record is from RNAcentral.
UCAGAUGAGCCUAGGUCGGAUUAGCUAGUUGGUGGGGUAAUGGCUCACCAAGGCGACGAUCCGUAACUGGUCUGAGAGGAUGAUCAGUCACACUGGAACUGAGACACGGUCCAGACUCCUACGGGAGGCAGCAGUGGGGAAUAUUGGACAAUGGGCGAAAGCCUGAUCCAGCCAUGCCGCGUGUGUGAAGAAGGUCUUCGGAUUGUAAAGCACUUUAAGUUGGGAGGAAGGGCAGUAAGUUAAUACCUUGCUGUUUUGACGUUACCGACAGAAUAAGCACCGGCUAACUCUGUGCCAGCAGCCGCGGUAAUACAGAGGGUGCAAGCGUUAAUCGGAAUUACUGGGCGUAAAGCGCGCGUAGGUGGUUUGUUAAGUUGGAUGUGAAAGCCCCGGGCUCAACCUGGGAACUGCAUCCAAAACUGGCAAGCUAGAGUACGGUAGAGGGUGGUGGAAUUU